This 545-nucleotide ribosomal RNA is filed under the name uncultured bacterium. RNAcentral describes it as "bacterial SSU rRNA". It matches the Rfam family "Bacterial small subunit ribosomal RNA", at positions 777 to 1319 of the family's 1533-position model. The record is from RNAcentral.
AAUAGAUACCCGGGUAGUCCACGCCGUAAACGAUGAGUGCUAAGUGUUAGGGGGUUUCCGCCCCUUAGUGCUGCAGCUAACGCAUUAAGCACUCCGCCUGGGGAGUACGGUCGCAAGACUGAAACUCAAAGGAAUUGACGGGGGCCCGCACAAGCGGUGGAACAUGUGGUUUAAUUCGAAGCAACGCGAAGAACCUUACCAGGUCUUGACAUCCCGUUGACCACUGUAGAGAUAUAGUUUCCCCUUCGGGGGCAACGGUGACAGGUGGUGCAUGGUUGUCGUCAGCUCGUGUCGUGAGAUGUUGGGUUAAGUCCCGCAACGAGCGCAACCCUUGAUCUUAGUUGCCAUCAUUUAGUUGGGCACUCUAAGGUGACUGCCGGUGACAAACCGGAGGAAGGUGGGGAUGACGUCAAAGUCAUCGUGCCCCUUAUGACCUGGGCUACACACGUGCUACAAUGGACGAUACAAACGGUUGCCAACUCGCGAGAGGGAGCUAAUCCGAUAAAGUCGUUCUCAGUUCGGAUUGUAGGCUGCAACUCGCCUAC